CUGUUGUGCAAAUUUUAAUGUACUCGCAAGCGCACGAAUCUAUUGUAGUGUAGAUCAAUGGUGAUGAGUGUCGAUCCCACGAGGAGGAGGAUUUUAAUUGUGUAUAGAAUUAAUUUUGCAAAAUGGGUGGUUGGAAUUGUGGUGGAAGUGAUUUAAAUUAUCCUAAAAUUGGAAUUGAAAUUGCGAUAAUAAAUUCUAAAAUUGGAAUUGCAAUGGCGAGAAUAAGUUGAAGCGAAAUCUAUUGAAAUGACGUACUUGGGUAUCUGGAUCCGUAUCAACAUGCAUCAUGGGUGUUGUGCAAAUUUUAAUGUACUCGCAAGCGCACGAAUCUAUUGUAGUAUAGACUAAUGGUGACGAGUGUCGAUCCCACAAGGAGGUGGAUUUUAAUUAUAUAUAGAAUUAAUUUUGUAAAUGGGUAGUUGGAUUUAUGGUGGAAAUGAUUUGGAAUAUGCUAAAACUUAAAUUAAAAUGGCGAGAAUAAAUUCUAAAAUUGGUAUUGAAAUGACGAGAAUAAAUUGAAGAGAAUUCUAUUAAAAUGACGUACUUGGGUAUCUGAAUCCGUAUCAACAUGCAUCAUGGGCUAAAUAAUCCUUAUUAAUGCCAAUUAAAUCAUGAGGGGGGAAUCCACACCUCAUGAACCACGCUCUAAUCAAUAUGGUGCUAAGGGCUUAUCGUGCCAAAUAAUAAUAACCUUGUACUAGAGGGCCGGUGAAACCAAGGCGGUACUAGACAAGAUUAGUAUUAUUUGUCGACGAGAAGUCAAAACAUCUACAAAAACUAGAGGGGAAGAGAAAAUAAAUUUACCAAAUAAAGCCCAUGACACAUGUUGAGACUUCACCUUCAGCCCAAGCUUGAAAGAAAAUUAGCCACUCAUAAUUGAACUAGGGGCAAAAUGGGAAUUUAUUAAAAUACGAAGAAAAUACAAGAUGGAGAAGGAAUUACAGAAAAUGGAUCCCAAAAAUGGAUUCAGAGAUAUCAAAUUAGGGGGGAGAGGCCCCCUUUUUAUAGAUACAUGGAGUAAAUCAUGGCCAUCGGAUUAAAAACAGUUUGGACGCUCAGGAUUGCGCCACGUCAUCAGUCAACAGUCCACGGUUUGACCACGCGGAUGAACAGUAACACGGUUUGACUCGGAUGAACAGUAACGCAGUUUGGUUGAAAAUAAUCCUGUGUAAUGCAUGCACCGUACGCGAGAUUUUUCGUCAACUGAUAUGCUACCAUCAACAGUACAUAAGAAUUUUAGUCCAACAGGAUCGUGACACCUCAUCAGUCAAUGCCACAUCAUCGGUCAAUGCCACGUCAUCAUCCGUCUAUGUGAACAGUGUCGUGAACAGUAACGUAUACAGUACCGUACAUGUGAAUAGUGUCAUUUUUCCUUUUAUGCUCCUCCUAAAGUUUUUGACCGUCCUGAGUUCAAAAGUGAUGUCCGUUUUGCCGUCUGAUUUCUCCUUUAUUGUGAAAUGACUAUAAUGCCCCUAAAAUACAUAAAAUACUUAAUUAAAAUAAAACACAUGUAAUUAAAUCACAAGAAGGUUAAAUACAUAAAAGUAAGGGUUGUUAGUAAGACUUGAAAUGUAAAAUGACGGUUUUCUCCUUUAUAAAUAUGCAUUUUCUAACACUCAACACACCCCCCAACCAGCUUAUUGCUAGUCCCUAGCAAAUAAAGCGAAAACAAAAUUCAAAUUCAAAAUGAUUUUUUUUUUUUUUAGAAACACUCGUGUUUAUUCAAUCAGAUUAAUGAUAGCAAUCAAAUAAAAGUAUAAGCAUUAUCUCCAGUCUAAAGCAACAUCACACUCACAUCAACCAUCCACAUGAAUUAGCCCAGUAGACUUUGUUAUAGCUACUUUCAAGAAUGACAUGUCAAACCCCAAAAUCUCACUGGAAGUAGUGACACUCUCACAAAUAAAUUAAACCCAAUAAAAAUAGUCACUCCAAUGAAUGAUAAUUGAGAGAGAAAAUAAUAAAGAAGUGAUAUCACAUGCUCUCACCAAGAUGAAAUAAAUAUGCCCUCAGCUUAGAAAUAAUACGAUCUCAAGUCAAAUAAAAUGUAAGUCAACCCACUUUAUUUAUCUUUUUUUUUUAAUUAUGCAUCACUACAUCUUUUUAGCCCAUAUAACUAGCUUCUACUUCAAACUAUAGUUCCCUAAAAUCAAGAAGGACUUUUAUUAGGACGUAACGUAGGCUAGGGACAUGGUUAACAAAGAAGGGAAAUAAGGAAAACAAAGUGUAUGUUUGAGAAAAAUGCAGAGAUUUUUUUUAUUUUUGGAAGUUACAAGGUGGAUAAAAGGUACAUCCUUAGAAAGAUCUUACUUCUCUGACUGUUUUAGGUGAAAGAAGAUUAGAAAUGAGAUCCACCUUGGCUUUGUCAACCUCAAUACCUUUGCUCGAAAUGAUGUGACCGAGAACAAUACCUUAUUUUACCAUAAAAUGACAUUUCUCCCAAUUUAAGAUCAAGUUCUUCUCGAUACAUCUCUGCAGAACUAGUGUUAGAUGAUGUAAACAUUGAUCAAACGAGUCACCAAAGACAGAAAAGUCAUCCAUAAAGACUUCAAGGAAUCGUUCAACCAUAUCAGAAAAAAUGCUUAACAUGCAUCGUUGAAAUGUAGCAGGUGCAUUACAUAAUCCAAAUGGCAUUCUCCUAUAUGCAAAUGUGCCAAAAGGGCAAGUGAAAGUAGUUUUCUCUUGAUCUUUUGGUGCUAUGGGAAUCUGAUUAUAUCUUGAAUAGCCAUCUAGAAAGCAAUAAAAUUCAUGGCCUGCUAAUCUAUCAAGCAUUUGAUCAAUAAAUGGUAAAGGAAAAUGGUCUUUACGUGUGACAGAAUUCAACUUUCUAUAAUCAAUGCAUACACGCCAUCCUGUAGUUACUCUAGUGGGUAUCAAUUCAUUAUCAGCAUUGGUAACUACUGUGACUCUUGACUUUUUGGGGACAACUUGUACAGGACUGACCCAUGAACUAUCAGAAAUGGGGUAAAUGAUACCUCCGUCUAAUAGCUUCAGGACUUCUGUUCUAACAACUUCUUUCAUGUUAGGAUUUAACCGACGUUGCAUCUCCCUAGUAGUUUUAGCAUUUUCAUCAAGGUGAAUGUAAUGCAUGCAGUCUACUGGGUUUAUACCUUUUAUGUCUGCUAUGGUCCAUCCUAAUGCUCCUUUGUGCUCUUUUAAAACAUCCAACAACUUACCUUUUUGUUUGUCAUUGAGGGAUGAUGAGAUGAUUAUCGGCAGAGAACUUUCUUCUCCCAAAAAUGCAUAUUCUAAAGUAUUGGGUAAUGGUUUGAGCUCGAGUUUCGGUGGUGAUUCUGAUGAUGGGAUGAGUUUCUUCUCUGAUGGUGCUAGUUGCUCAACUCUUGACUUCCAUUUAUUAGUGUCCAUAGAUGGUGCUGAGUCAAGCAGGGCGUUGACCUCAUCGACCGAUCUGUCAAUAUCAAAAUCCAAACCAAAGUGAGUUAAACAUGUUUGUAAAGGAUCACUAAGGUUUGAAACAAAAGUAUCAUCAACUAAUGCUUCAAUUAAAUCCACAUCAACAAUUCCAUCAUCUGCACUGUGAGGUUGUUUGGCAAUGUUGAAGAUGUUCAGCUCCAUAGUCAUGUUGCCGAAAGACAACUGCAUAUUUCCAGUUCUGCAUUGAAUGUGAGCAUCCGCAGUUGCCAAGAAAAGUCGGCCUAGAAUAAUGGGGAUGUGCUUCCUUGAAUCCUGUAUUGGUUGAGUGUCAAUUACAAUGAAAUCAACAGGAAAAUAAAACUUGUCUACCUGGAUAAGCACGUCCUCCACAAUACCACGAGGUAUUUUCGUGGACCGAUCUGCGAGUUGUAACACCACUAGAGUUGGGUGUAAUUCUCCAAGUCCAAGUUUCACGAAUACAGAGUAAGGCAAAAGAUUUACACUAGCUCCUAAAUCCAACAAAGCAUUCUCAAUUGUGUGGUUCCCUAUACUACAUGAGAUAGUGGAGGAGCCUGGGUCUUUGCAUUUUAAAGGAAUUUUAUGUUGGAGUAUAGAACUAACGUUUUCUGUUAAAAAUGCCUUCUUUUGAACAUGCAUAUUUCUCUUUUUAGUACAAAGGUCUUUAAGAAACUUGGCAUAAGAUGGAACUUGUUUAAUAGCAUCUAGCAAAGGGAUGUUAACACUUACCUGUUUGAAGAUUUCAAGAAUCUCACCUGUGGAUUUUCCCUUCUUUCCUUUCGCUAACCUCUGAGGAAAUGGAGCUUUAGGAACAUAUUCUCGUGGGUUGGUUUCUUCUUUUUCCUCCGGUGGUGAGUCCUCAACAUUCACAGGUACAAUUUGAUUUUCUUUUGUCACCGGCAUCUCCACUUUGUUGUCGACUUCUUUUCCUUUUCUCAAGGUCAUGACUGCUUUGACCUCUCCAUGCUGCUGUGGUGAACUGGUACUUGCUUCAUGUACUCCUUUAGGAUUAGGCACUGGUUGACUUGAAAAUUUGCCUUUCUCAACAGUCAUUGCCAAUGUCUGAACUGAAGAAGCAAGUUGUCCCACCAUCUUUUUUAGGCUUGAAACAGAUUGAGCUUGUGAGUUGAAGCCUGCUCUUAACUCAUUUCGUAGUCCAUCAAUGGUGCGGUUCUGUUGCUCAAUCGUGGAGUGAGUAACAUUCCUGAAAUUCUGGAAUGCAUCCUCCCAUGGUCUAGGUUGAGAGUGGUUCUAGUUCUGAUUGUAUGGUCUAAAUGGUGGCUGAGAGGCUUGAAGAUUUUGUGGAAUUGGUGGAGCUGGAGCUGUUGGUCCAUUCUGUUGGAAUCCUUGAGACCAUGAAAAAUUGGGGUGGUCUCUCCAUCCAGGGUUAUAUGUGUUGGAGUAUGGGUUGUAAUUCGAUGGUUUUCUCAUUACACCUAUGGCAUUGGCUUGAUCUGAGUAUGAGUCAUGGUCAUGUGGCUCUGUUGAUUUAGCAGUCGAUAAUGAUGCUAUUUGUCGAGAGAGACCUUCAAUUAUCGCUUUGACUUCUUUAAUUUUUGAACUUGAUUCGCCAAUGUGAACCUCAUUUACUCCCUUAAUUCUUCUAGUAUUCCUGAGUGAUCGACUCCGUUGUUGGGAAUUAUCCGCUUGUCGCUGGAAGAAUUACCAAAUCUCUGAUGCACUUUUUGACAUUAGCUCUCCUCCACUUGUUGCCAUUAGCCAUUCUUGCACAUUCGGCAAUAAUCCCUCCAAAAAGUAUUGGCAUUGGUGCCAUUUCUCGUACCCAUGAUGUGGACACUUCAAGAGUAGCCCAUUGAAUCGCUCCCAUGUUUCGAAAAAUUGCUCGUCCUCUCUCUGGGUAAACUCUGAGAUUUCCCUGCGAAUAGCAUUGGUUUUAUGCACUGGGAAAUAUUUAUUCAAAAAUUUUGUAACCAUUUGUUCCCAUGAUGCAAUGCUAUUAGCAGGCAAUGUAUUAAGCCAUGAACGAGCUCUAUCCUUUAAAGAAAAUGGGAAUAGUCUAAGUUUAACAUCAUCGUCUGAAAAAUUUUCAUAUUUAAAAGUUUGACAAAUGGCAUGAAAAUCAUUCAGAUGAUUAUAUGGAUCCUCAUUUUCUAGGCCAUAAAAUGUGGGGAGACAAUUUAGCACACUAGGUUUUAAUUCGAAACUCCUAGCAGCUACAUUUGGGUAUCUUAUGCAUGAUGUGCUUAAAUUAGUUAAGGGACUAAAAUAGUCCUUAAAUGGCCUCUCUUGUGGUGCUUGUAAAUCCAUUUCAAAUUUAUUUUUAAUGUGCUUUUGUGUGCGAAGUGUUUUCUCAAGUUCAAGGUCUAUAGGUUCAAGAUUAGGUAAUAAUAACCUACGACCAUGCAUGCAAGACAAAUAAAAUAAAAAUAAAGAUGGGAACAAAACAAAUAAAAAUAAAGAAGAGGGAGAAAUUACGAUACUAACCUUAUUGCGCUAUUACAACCUUUCUAUAAAAAUACACAAAAAUAAAUACGUGAAAUAAAUUAACUAAAAAUUAAAUUAAUAAAAUAAAAUAAAAAUUACAAAAUGUUAAAGAAGAGAAAAAGAAAAGAAAUACUAACCUUUAUAUGUAGAUUCACUUUUUUUUUCUUUUUUUUAAUUAAAAAAAAUACAAGAAAACAAAUAAAAGAAAUUAUUCAAAAAAUUAAUUCUAUGAAUUAAAAUUACUUACCUCCCCGGCAACGGCGACAAAAACUUGUUGUGCAAAUUUUAAUGUACUCACAAGCGCACGAAUCUAUUGUAGUAUAGACUAAUGGUGACGAGUGUCGAUCCCACGAGGAGGUGGAUUUUAAUUAUAUAUAGAAUUAAUUUUGUAAAUGGGUAGUUGGAUUUAUGGUGGAAAUGAUUUGGAAUAUGCUAAAACUUAAAUUAAAAUGGCGAGAAUAAAUUCUAAAAUUGGUAUUGAAAUGACGAGAAUAAAUUGAAGAGAAUUCUAUUAAAAUGACGUACUUGGUAUCUGGAUCUGUAUCAACAUGCAUCAUGGGCUAAAUAAUCCUUAUUAAUGCCAAUUAAAUCAUGAGGGGGGAAUCCACACCUCAUGAACCACGCUCUAAUCAAUAUGGUGCUAAGGGCUUAUCGUGCCAAAUAAUAAUAACCUUGUACUAGAGGGCCGGUGAAACCAAGGCGGUACUAGACAAGAUUAGUAUUAUUUGUUGACGAGAAGUCAAAACAUCCACAAAAACUAGAGGGGAAGAGAAAAUAAAUUUACCAAAUAAAACCCAUGACACAUGUUGAGACUUCACCUUCAACCCAAGCUUGAAAGAAAAUUAGCCACUCAUAAUUGAACUAGGGGCAAAAUGGGAAUUUAUUAAAAUACGAAGAAAAUACAAGAUGGAGAAGGAAUUACAGAAAAUGGAUCCCAAAAAUGGAUUCAGAGAUAUCAAAUUAGGGGGGAGAGGCCCCCUUUUUAUAGAUACAUGGAGUAAAUCAUUGCCAUCGGAUUAAAAACAGUUUGGAAGCUCAGGAUUGCGCCACGUCAUCAGUCAAGAGUCCACGGUUUGACCACGCGGAUGAACAGUAACACGGUUUGACUCGGAUGAACAGUAACACGGUUUGGUUGAAAAUAAUCCUGUGUAAUGCAUGCACCGUACGCGAGAUUUUUCGUCUACUGAUAUGCUGCCACGUCACCAUCAACAGUACAUAAGAAUUUUAGUCCAACAGGAUCGUGACACCUCAUCAGUCAAUGCCACAUCAUCGGUCAAUGCCACGCCAUCAUCCGUCUAUGUGAACAGUGUCGUGAACAGUAACGUAUACAGUACCGUACACGUGAAUAGUACCGUACAAGUGAACAGUGCCAUUUUUCCUUUUAUGCUCCUCCUAAGGUUUUCGACCGUCCUGAGUUCAAAAGUGAUGUCUGUUUUGCCAUAUGAUUUCUCAUUUAUUGUGAAAUGACUAUGAUGCCCCUAAAAUACAUAAAAUACUUAAUUAAAAUAAAACACAUGUAAUUAAAUCACAAGAAGGUUAAAUACAUAAAAGUAAGAGUUGUUAGUAAGACUUGAAAUGUAAAAUGAUGGUUUUCUCCUUUAUAAAUAUGCAUUUUCUAACACUCAACACACCCCCCAACCAGCUUAUUGCUAGUCCCUAGCAAAUGAAGCGAAAAUAAAAUUCAAAUUCAAAAUGAUUUUUAAAAAAAAAAAUUUAGAAACACUCGUGUUUAUUCAAUCAGAUUAAUGAUAGCAAUCAAAUAAAAGUAUAAGCAUUAUCUCCAGUCUAAAGUAACAUCACACCCACAUCAACCAUCCACAUGAAUCAGCCUAGUAGACUUUGUUAUAGCUACUUUCAAGAAUGACAUGUCAAACCCCAAAAUCUCACUGGAAGUAGUGACACUCUCACAAAUAAAUUAAACCCAAUAAAAAUAGUCACGCCAAUGAAUGAUAAUUGAGAGAAAAUAAUGAAGAAGUGAUAUCACAUGCUCUCACCAAGAUGAAAUAAAUAUGCCCUCAGCUUAAAAAUAAUACGAUCUCAAGUCAAAUAAAAACUGUUAGUCAACCCAAUUUAUUUAUUUAUUUUUUUUAUAUGCACCACUACAUCUUUUUAGCCCAUAUAAUUAGCUUCUACUUCAGAUUAUAGUUCCCUAAAAUCAGGAAGGACUUUUAUUAGGAUGUAACGUAGGCUAGGGACAUGGUUAACAAAUAAAGGAAAUAAGGAAAACAAAGUGUAUGUUUGAGAAAAAUGCAGAGAAUUUUUUUUUUUUUUUGGAAGUUGCAAGGUGGAUUUCACCUAUUAUUGUUAUUUUUAUUCUUUUGAAACAACAACUUUUGUUUUGUUGUUUUUUUUUUUUUUGCUAUAACUUCACUAAACAACAUAAUUAUUUACAUUUUCUCAAACAUAAAUAGGUGAUGGAACUUAUAAGUUAUCGGGUAAUACUCCAAAUCGGAGUGGGUCAAUAUGAUAAGUUGACAAAGAAAAUAUUUUUUUUUAAAGGCUCAAAAGGGUUAACUAUGGAUAUUUAAUAAAAGGGAUGGCUAGAAAAGCUCAAACGGAUCAAAGAUGGCAUUUCCAUCGUCUUUUAGGGCUCUAAAUAACCUUCCAUAUCUACUAGUUAGAUGGGCCUCCAAAUGUAGCAACACACUUUUUUUUUUAUUAAGGGUUAACUCAAAAGAAAUCUAGAAAUCGUGUAUACAAUAAUAAACUGUUAAGCUGUAUAAAGAAUGGGCAAAAGGGUUACUCUCCAAGAAAAAUGAUAGGCUCAAAAACUCACUUGGUACUUAUUAUGACAUGUUCAUUCCUUCAAGCAACUCAUAUAUGUAGAGCUGGCAAAAUGGGUCAUCGGGUCGUGUUCGUGUCGUGUUAAAUUUAGGUCGACCCAAACCCGACCCAUUUAAUAAUCGUGUCAAAAUAUUGAGACCCAAACCCGACACGGAAAAUAAUCGGGUUACCCAAUAACCCGUUUAAUAUCUAUAUAUUGAACAAAAGUUACAUCAAAUAUUUACACAUUAUCAUACAUACAUACAUACAUAAUU
RNAcentral lists this long non-coding RNA (8873 nucleotides) under Citrus x clementina. Its description in RNAcentral is "Citrus clementina (C. clementina) long non-coding RNA (CCLE_LNC005581)". The stretch from base 5171 to 5274 matches the Rfam family "Plant small nucleolar RNA R71". Lineage: Eukaryota; Viridiplantae; Streptophyta; Magnoliopsida; Sapindales; Rutaceae. The record is from RNAcentral.